Molecule: ribosomal RNA, 403 nt
Filed under: uncultured bacterium
Lineage: Bacteria
Description: partial 16S ribosomal RNA
Rfam family: Bacterial small subunit ribosomal RNA
Source: RNAcentral
GACGAACGCUGGCGGCGUGCCUAAUACAUGCAAGUCGAACGCAGUGGGGACGGGUGAGUAACACGUGGGUAACCUCCCAUCAGAGGGGAUAACACUUGGAAACAGGUGCUAAACCGAUACUGAUGGAUGAACACGCGGUGCGGUAGCUAGUUGGUGAGGGAACGGCUCACAAAGGCCACGAUGCAUAGCCGACCGGAGAGAGUGAUCGGCCACACUGGUACUGAGACACGGCCCAGACCCCUACGGGAGGCAGCAGUAGGGAAUUUUCGGAAAUGGACGAAAGUCUGACCGAGCAACGCCGCGUGAGUGAAGAAGGUUUUCGGAUCGUAAAACUCUGUUGUUAGAGAAGCGGUAUCUAACCAGAAAGCCACGGCUAACUACGUGCCAGCCGCCGCGGUAAUUC